RNAcentral lists this ribosomal RNA (616 nucleotides) under Lyngbya majuscula HA5. RNAcentral describes it as "bacterial SSU rRNA". It matches the Rfam family "Bacterial small subunit ribosomal RNA", at positions 151 to 801 of the family's 1533-position model. The record is from RNAcentral. Lineage: Bacteria; Bacillati; Cyanobacteriota; Cyanophyceae; Oscillatoriales; Microcoleaceae.
AGGAACUUCUGCUAAUCCCGGAUGAGCCGCAAGGUGAAAGAUUUAUCGCCUAGAGAUGAGCUCGCGUCUGAUUAGCUAGUUGGUAAGGUAAAAGCUUACCAAGGCAACGAUCAGUAGCUGGUCUGAGAGGAUGAUCAGCCACACUGGGACUGAGACACGGCCCAGACUCCUACGGGAGGCAGCAGUGGGGAAUUUUCCGCAAUGGGCGCAAGCCUGACGGAGCAAGACCGCGUGGGGGAGGAAGGCUCUUGGGUUGUAAACCCCUUUUCUCAGGGAAGAACCAAAUGACGGUACCUGAGGAAUCAGCCUCGGCUAACUCCGUGCCAGCAGCCGCGGUAAUACGGAGGAGGCAAGCGUUAUCCGGAAUGAUUGGGCGUAAAGCGUUCGUAGGUGGCUACUCAAGUCUGCUGUCAAAGACAGAAGCUCAACUUCUGAAAGGCAGUGGAAACUGAGUAGCUGGAGUGCGGUAGGGGCAGAGGGAAUUCCCGGUGUAGCGGUGAAAUGCGUAGAGAUCGGGAAGAACACCGGUGGCGAAAGCGCUCUGCUGGGCCGCAACUGACACUGAGGGACGAAAGCUAGGGGAGCGAAUGGGAUUAAUCCCCCCCUUAUUCAACCC